CACAGACACACACACUUCACCUCCCGUUAUCCGUCUCUCGCCGCCGCCUCCUCCUUAAAAAAUCCGUACACAGCGGAUCUAUCCGAAGCAAUCACAGCAGCAUGAUUAAAAACCCUUCCACACGCACGAAGCAGAAAGCUCGCUGUGGAUGUUCCCGAAAAGGGAAUUCACCCGCGCCGACAAACGCACUUUCUGCUCCGCUGCAAUGUGCAUUUCGGUACUUCCUUUCGCGGUCUUAAUAACGUUUCCCGGCUUGUCUUCAGCGUCCGAGUCCGCUGGGCGUGAGGUUGUGGAGCUACGGUAUAUAUGAAUGUGAAAGGCAAGUCAGCCCCCCCCCCCACAGAGAAAACAACGAUUCGAUAAGGUCACCCCUGGGAACAGACUGCUUUGGGACACCCACCUGCUGGGGGUGUCGUGAUAUAAUGAUUCAGGGAAGUUAGCCGGUUCUGUACAGGGUCACUUCGCCUGUGACCAGUGCUGUCCCACCUCUGUCCAGUUCAAGUCUCCAGUGCAGGAUAUCCAAACAGCCACAGUCAAGGGUCACCAAUCAGGACUACUGUUUUUUUGUUUUGUUUUUUCCAGUGUAGGCUUCCUGUUUUGGAGGGUCAGACACUGCAAUCCAGUCGCUGAAGAGCAUAGAAAGCCAAACGUCUGUCAAAAUAAGAGUUCAACAGAAUUGGUGGACUGAAAAGCGAAUGCAAAGUUUUGCAGCGGGGGAGGUAUUUACUGUUGCACAGGGCUCUGAAAGAAAGACAUCUGCCAAACUGUUACACUGGCUUGAUGGUUGCUACUGUACAUCCAUUGCUACACCCAUAAAGCUACAGGCACAGGGCUGAAUUCAUCAUCCCAAACCCACCCCUGACUGAACAAAUGAAGGAUACGAGGGCAGCUGGGAGAGAGACUGACAGACUGGCUUCUGGAAAGGCCCUGCAGGCCAGCAGCGUGUGAUGGCACCGCGUGGUGCAGGGUUCACUGGGAACAGCCCGCCACCCUCUCACGGGCCGCAGUGGAGCGGAGGAGCGGAGGAGCACCCCACAGCAGUCUGUCCAGAGGCUGAUCGGGUGCGUGUGUCAGUGCUGUCGUGAUCGUGUUAGUGCUCAGGGAGAACAAAACCCGUCACC
Long non-coding RNA from Lepisosteus oculatus (spotted gar), 1121 nucleotides. RefSeq lists it as uncharacterized. The record is from RefSeq and is a predicted model, not a curated record. Lineage: Eukaryota; Metazoa; Chordata; Actinopteri; Semionotiformes; Lepisosteidae.